Chelonoidis abingdonii (Abingdon island giant tortoise) is the source of this 3395-nucleotide non-coding RNA. The record is from RefSeq and is a predicted model, not a curated record. NCBI's taxonomy places the organism in Eukaryota, Metazoa, Chordata, Testudines, Testudinidae.
AAGAAGCAGCCAAUCAAAUUUAUGAGCAGAUAUCUUAGAUGGUCAAUGGACAGGAAAUAGUUAAAAGGAAACCUAGUAAUGUCUUGCUUUGUGGUCCUGCAGCUUGGAUGCUCUGAGUGAAAAUGAAAUAGGAGAUGAAGGAACAAAAAGUCUCUGUGAAGUAUUGUCUGAGCUGACAUCACUGGAAACGUUGAACUUAUCACAGAACAAGAUAACAGAUUUGGGUGCAGAACAACUAGCUACUGCUCUUCCUUCCUUAUCCUCAUUAAAGACACUUAGUUUGUACAAUAACUACAUUUGUGAUGCUGGAGCGGAAAAUAUAGCAAAAAUACUUCCUGCAAUGGCAUCUUUGAGGGUGCUACAUGUUCAGUGUAACAAGAUAACUGAUGCAGGAGCCCAGAAGCUGACUGAUAGCCUCAGAAAAUGCCCCCACAUCAAGAGUGUGGCGAUGUGGAAUCCUAUUAUUCCCUAUGGUGUUCUGGAGCACCUUCAACAGCUAGAUUCUAGAAUCAGUUUGCUGUAGAAUCAGCUGAUCCUGUGAAGGUAAUAUUAAGAAGAGGUGAAAUUAUUACUGAAUUUUCCCAUCUUGUUUGCUGCUUUAUGAAUGAGGAAAAAAUGUAGCAACUACACUGGUUUUCCUGAGAGCUACUGAAUGGAAAGUUACAUUGGAGCUUCUGAGGACAGUUGAAAACAGCAGAAGUCCACAUGCUUAUACUGUAGUUAAGCAGGUCCAUUCAAAUGCUAUUCAAAUGGACUGAUUCUGCUCCCCUUGAACAAGCCAUUAAGAGUUAUGUAGGAUGAAGCUUCACAGGUGUAAAGAAGACCACGCUACAGAGGUCACCAUUAAAAAUAAUCAGAGGUUGCUUCCAUAAUAUAAAACUGUAUAAUAGCCACCACACUUCCCACACAGUCUGAUGGAAUUAAGUCUAUGGGAACAGUGGCCUAUAGCUGUGGAUAAGGUGAGUCUUUUUUGUGAUGCCUACUGUAUCUGAAACUGCUGCUGGCACGGUGAGAUUGAACAAUCAAAGUCCAGUGUUGGAGUUUUCACAUGCAAAUCUCCAUUGUAAGCACUAGGGUUUAGAACAUUUAGCAAGAUUGCUCAGCCUAAAGAUGGGAGCAUACUGAUAUAGGGGCAUGAAAAUCCCAGCAUAUUUACCCAAUCGUAUGAAUUUACAGGUGGCACUUUGUCAGCAUUUUUGUCAAAUGUUACACUAAUCACAUCUGCAGUGAUAAUGUUGCUUUCUUAUGGUGUUUCACCCAAAUCUGUUAUUCACUUAUUGCUGAUAUAGAGCCCUUUAAAUAAGAUGACAAAGGAAAAAAUUACCAGGAAAGGCGAAAUUAAAGGUAGAAAAUGCGAAUGAUUUUUAACAAAAGAGCUUCACAGAAAUCCACAGACAUUUAAAAGGGUUCAAUCUGCUGCACAGAAAUCCUGAAAAAUGACUGUGGAAAUACGCAAUCAGAUUUUUAACUGGUCUUAAAUGAGAUCUGAAAACUGACAUAUCUGAAUGAAUGGAAAGUUUGUUUGAACUGACUGUGGGGAAGUCAUAGAAAAACCUGAGGGUCCAAAUCAUUAACAAAAAAUACAUGUCAAAUUGCACACAAUGCUUCUGUGAAGCAAAAGAUUUGAAAUUGAAAGUUUUGAUUUUGAAAAUGAAUAUGUAUUCUCUCUCCUAUUCAUGUUCAGGAACUGGAUUCAGGGUUCUGCGAUCUCUCACUUACCUUUCCCAACAAGAUAGUUGAAACAGACUGUUCAACAAUCACAACUUAAACAUGAAAUCACAACUUCACAUUUUUUCAUAGACCACAUUUACAGAGUCUCAAAGAUCAAGGCAUGCUAGACAAGCCAAUUUCAGUAUAUCAGCACAUUUAGCUGCUAGUCUCUGUAUAUAAUGAUCCAAAUUCUGAUCCUACUGAAUUGAGUGGCGAGAUGUUGAUUUCCCGUUUAUUUCAGAUUGCCCAUAUGAUAUUGGAGGAGUUUUAUGGUUUUCUAGAGACAAGUGUCAGGACAAGCAUAAUGAUUUCCUGUGCAAAGGACUGGGAAUGGGAAAAAUGAGAUUAAAUGGGAGAAGCUGGAGAUGACUUUAUAUACUCCAAAAAUUGUAAGGCUAGAUUCUUGCACCUCAUUCUGGUAUUGCAAAGUAGCUCAAAGCUAGCUCAACCAGCUGCUGAAAACUAGCUCAAUCAGCUACUUGAAAAAUUUCCCUUGGUAAGAGGAAACCCAGAAUGGCAUAGAGACUCCACCAUCUCCCUUAGAUAUAGGGACCAAAGUGCAGCUGCAUUCCAGCUAUUCCUGGCUGCUGGAACAGCCCCUGGAGGUCAAAGGUAGCCAGGUGUAGGCUACUCUAAUUUAAUCUGAUGACCAGUCCUUUGCAGACCCCAAAUUCUAGGACAGGUCCCAGUGGCUGUACAUAGUUACUCAUCUGUGCUAAUGUUUCUCAUUGGAAUAGCUUUCCCAUACUAUCACACAUUGGUUGGCUAAUUCCAGCCAUGUGCAAAACACUUGAGGCAAUGCAUCUUCCUGUUGAACUUGAAAGGUUAGUGAGACGGUCAUCUGCUCAGGAGCAACCACAGAAACCUGGUCUCUGCUGACUUCUGAAACACACUCAUAUGUUCUCAUUCCUUUGUCUAAAGGCAACCUACCUUGAGAUGAGCCUUCAAGUUCUUUCCAACAACUUAUGCCUUUCUGCUGACAUUUCUCUGUUUCCAGAAUCUCUUCACAGGGGACAAAGAAAGGACCAAAUAAAGAAAAGGGGCAAUGGAGGAUUGAACCAGCUUUAAAAAGGGGAUGGAGGGUGGGAGAAGACCAGCUGAAUGGAGGUAAUGGUGAGGGGGGGACAGGGAUGGGGGCAGAUGGAAUCCAGGUGAUCAUGUUUGUAGUUGGAAAAGGAGCCAUUUUCCUCAUUUUGUGCCAGGCUUUUUAACACCUGACAGGACAGGGGAAAAACUCUCUGAAAAAAACAACAACCUAUCCCUGCUGCUCUUCCCCAUUUCAUCUUCAUGAAUGGUUUUAUAGUCUUGGGCCAACUCCUGCAUGUAAAAUUCCCACCAAUAUCCACAGACAUUCUGCAGUGCACAUUGGUGGCAACCCUAUAAAUUGUCUUUUCUUAACAAAGUUGUGGCACGGGACAAUGGAUACUAUUUUAGGGCAAUAUUUUGCAACCCCUCCUCACAGCAAGUUAUGGAAAGAUCUUACUAAACAGUCAGUGAGAUAACUAAAUGUUAUGGAGCUUUUACACUGGAUUGUAUAAAACGUUUCUUAGCUGCACUGGUAUGUUCUUUUAAUGAGUCUGAGUCAUGUAAAGAUAAUGUGUAGUUUGUAUAAACUCAGAUGCAAUUUCUUUGUGUAUUUUGUUUGUAAACUUUUUUAAAUUUAAUAAAAUUGCACAUUCUUUUUA